GGAAACGGAUGCUAAUACCCCAUAGGUGGAUUGGUCGCAUGACGAAUUCAUUAAAGGUGGCUUUGCUACCACUCAUGGAUAGCCUCGCGGCGUAUUAGCUAGUUGGUAAGGUAAUGGCUUACCAAGGCAGUGAUACGUAGCCGACUUGAGAGGGUGAUCGGCCACACUGGGACUGAGACACGGCCCAG
RNAcentral lists this ribosomal RNA (188 nucleotides) under uncultured Carnobacteriaceae bacterium. RNAcentral's name for it is "partial 16S ribosomal RNA". It matches the Rfam family "Bacterial small subunit ribosomal RNA", at positions 152 to 334 of the family's 1533-position model. Lineage: Bacteria; Bacillati; Bacillota; Bacilli; Lactobacillales; Carnobacteriaceae. The record is from RNAcentral.